This 497-nucleotide ribosomal RNA is filed under the name uncultured bacterium. RNAcentral describes it as "partial 16S ribosomal RNA". It matches the Rfam family "Bacterial small subunit ribosomal RNA", at positions 28 to 507 of the family's 1533-position model. The record is from RNAcentral.
GACGAACGCUGGCGGCGUGCCUAAUACAUGCAAGUUGAGCGAUGAUGCUUGGUGCUUGCACCAAUUUGAAGAGCAGCGAACGGGUGAGUAACGCGUGGGGAAUCUGCCUUUGAGCGGGGGACAACAUUUGGAAACGAAUGCUAAUACCGCAUAACAACUUUAAACAUAAGUUUUAAGUUUGAAAGAUGCAAUUGCAUCACUCAAAGAUGAUCCCGCGUUGUAUUAGCUAGUUGGUGAGGUAAAGGCUCACCAAGGCGAUGAUACAUAGCCGACCUGAGAGGGUGAUCGGCCACAUUGGGACGGAGACACGGCCCAAACGCCUACGGGAGGCAGCAGUAGGGAAUCUUCGGCAAUGGACGAAAGUCUGGCCGAGCAACGCUGCGUGAGUGAAGAAGGUUGUCGGAUCGGAAAACUCUGUUGGUAGAGAAGAACGUUGGUGAGAGUGGAAAGCUCAUCAAGUGACGGUAACUACCCAGAAAGGGACGGCUAACUACGUG